Molecule: RNA transcript, 3818 nt
Organism: Aphidius gifuensis
Lineage: Eukaryota; Metazoa; Arthropoda; Insecta; Hymenoptera; Braconidae
Exons: 11
Source: RefSeq, a predicted model, not a curated record
CUUCAUAGUCCAUUUUAACACAAAAGCGUCAUGAAGCAUUUCUUUGUUUUUACGUUUCUCCUUUUGGUGAUUCAAUUUGAACGUCCAGUAUUUGGAAAAAAUAAUCAAGAAAUAAAUGCUGUUGUCGGAAAAAAAUUGGAUAUAAAUCCAACAAAAAUAAUUGGUGAUCUUGUUAAUUGUCAAGCAGUAUUUCAUGGAUCAAAAAAAGACAUAGUCUAUAAAAUUUAUCCAGAUCCAGAUAAAUAUGUAAGUCAUAUUGGUCGUUGGGAUGAUUCAUGUGGAUUUUCAUUAACUGAAUUUUCUGCUGAACUUUCUGGAAAAUGGACAAUAAAGACUUCCUACAAAUCAGCAGAAAUAUUAAAAGAUUUUGAAGAAACUUUUUUUGUUUAUGAAAAUCAGAACGUAAAAGCAUUGCCUGCGACAACUGUCUACGUUGAAGAAGAUCAAUAUGUCACUUUGUACAUAGAAGAAACAAAUAUAUCUCAAAAUAGCACUUGUAUACUUAAAAUGGUGGCAGAGGAAAUUGAAUAUGACUUAAAAAAUUUACCAAAUAACAAUUAUAAAAUCGAGCUUUAUGGUAAAUGUGGUGUUCGCAUGCUCAUUAUUGACAAUAAACAACAUGGUCAAUGGUCACUGUCAAGUGUAUCAGAUUAUAAAAAAUUAUUAGCAGAAUUUAAUAUAGAAGUUUCUAAUAAAAAUCAUCAUACUACUCAAAUAAAAGAGUAUUACGACCAAUGGAAUCAAGGUGCAAUCAAUGAAAAAUUACGACUAUUAUCAAGGUCUGACAGAAUUUAUUGUGAGGUGCAACGACCAGAUGGUUAUAUUAUAGUACUGAGUAUACCCGACUGUGUUUACAAUGUGGAUAUAGUUUCUACUGUUCAUGCAGGAGUUUGGAUUGCCCGAUACGGUCUAAAGCACAGUAUGGAACUUGUUGAGGAACACUACAAUAUUGAAGUUUGGGAUUCUCAAAGUAUAAAUGUCACUGUAAUUAAUGAUAAAACUGAAAAUGCAAUUAACAUGCUAUGUGAAGUAGGUGUAAAAGCACUUCGUCAAUGUAUGUUUAUAAAACCUGAUGGUACUAUUAAAAUAUUACCAGCUGCAGUUGGAAAUAACAAAUAUGAGUAUUAUGGUAUUGGUUAUGAAAAUAAUGCUAAUCGUAAAGCACAGUGUGGUCUCACAAUUCGUAAUCCACAUUCAAAUGAUUAUGGAGUAUGGAAAUGUUCAGUGAUGACUGAUAAUUACAAAACACUGACUGCACUUGUUAAUGUUAAUUUAUUGGCUAAUCAAAAAAGUUUUGACAAACGUUAUUUAAAGAUUUCAAAGGAACCUACUUAUGUCAAAUAUGGUGAUAAUUUUGAGUUAAAAUGCAGUGUUGAUACGCAAUUGGACUACUGUUGGAUGCUAAGUCCCAAUGGUACAAUUUAUUCAGUAACAAAAGAUAAAAAUUCUACAAAUUCUCUUCAAUACAGUGGCAAAGGUUUGUCUCUUGGUGUUUGUGGUGCAAUUGUUGAAAAUGCUGACAAAACACACCAAGGUGGUUGGAGUUGUCAUUUAGGUGUUAGUGGUUAUAGUGCAGAAAUUACAUCGAUAAUCCAAGUUACAGUCACAGAUUCUUAUCUAAUUCCAAGUGCUAAAAAUAUUGAUGGAUCAACACAACUUCUUUGUCGUUUGUUCCCAAAUACUGAAGCAGAAAUUGACUACUGUCGUUGGAUUAAUCCAUAUGGAAAUGGACUGUAUCAAAAUGACCUGACAAAAUAUAAUAUCAAACAAAACAAAAAUAAUUGCAGUCUUCAAUUUCAAUAUGGUGAUAUUAUCGACAUUGGUAAUUGGAAAUGCUAUGCUCGUUUGACUUCUGGUUCUGAUGAGGAAUAUUAUGCUGAUAUUUAUUACACUCCAUCGACAAGAUCAAGUUAUUUGUCAUAUCGAUCCUUCACUUUUAAUUUUCUUGUGUUAGGUCUUCUCUUUUCUUUUUGUGCUACUACUGCUCUAUUGUUUCACAAAACUAAGCAAUUUAAAAAUAUGCGCAAUCAAUUGCCCCUUAAAUUACCAACAUCAUACUCUCAAUCAUACAAUUUAUCCGAAAAAAAUAAUCCAGAAAAAAAAAAUAUUGAAUCAUAAAUUUUAUUACUAUCACACUUGAAAAUAUACUCGUUUAUUUCGAGAGCAAUUGAGUUAGCCGUUAUUAAUUAAAAUGACUUGCAUAUUAAAUUAAUAUGAAUUGCAUGCUGUUCAUAUUUUCAAGUAGUAUAAACAAUGAGUCUAAAAAUUAUGUUUUUAUAAAUGAAAAAAAAAAAAAAUCUACAUAAGCAUUAAUUUUUUAAAAGAGCUCAUACGUAUGAUUAAAAAGCUUAUCUAAGUGAAUGAAAAAAAACAAAACAAAAAAAACCGAGUAUUAAAUUUUUUAAAAAGAAAUGAUUUUUUUUUUUUUUUUAGAAAACAUUUCCCGCAGAAAAAAAGGUAAAUUAAUUACAUGAUAAAAAAUUUUUAAAAAAUAAUAAUAUUACUGUGGUGCACAAGUCUAGGUGAAAAUGAUUGCAUCUCUCUACUUUUAGAAUUAGUGAGAUAAAAAUUGCAUAUGCUGGCUAAUAUAUAAAAAUAAUUUUAUCUCUUAUAUAAGCAUGGAUUUCUUUUAUAAACAAAUAGUCCCUUGGCAAUUGUCAAUUUCUUUUUCCCCUAAUUUGAAACAUAUGAAUGAGACAUUUGAAAUAUGUAUCAAUGAGUUAUAAAAUAGUUCAAACUAGUUGUCUCGUUUUGUAUAAAUGGUUUACCCCAAUAGAAUUCGCAUUCUUCCCACGUUCAUUGCCAUUUGCCUCGACAGUCGACACACGCCAGACAUCACACAAAAUUCAAAAGACUCCACAAGAGCAUUGUAAAUAUAACUCUUCAAAUAAUAAUUCUAUAACAAUUCUCAUGGGUAUAUAUAAUGAGUGGCAUUAAUUAAAAAACAAUUUAUCAUUUUAUGCAAAUAAUUGUUGACUUGUUUGUCAGAUAAAUAUUAUAAAUAUAAUUAUUAAUUUUUUAUUUUCAAUAUUUUUAUUUUAUAUAUACCUAUAAAUUAAUUAAAUUUAUUUUUUAAUCUUUUAUCAGUUGAAGAAAACCAAUGGAUAUUCGAGAUUCAGUGAACCAUGGUUUAAAGGACAAAAUGAUUCAAAGAACACUAUACAUAGUACAAGAGAAGAAUGUUCUUCGUAUAAGUCUGUCUCUUUUACUGAUUACAAUGAAGAGUACGCGGUACCAUGUUAAAUCCCCAACUGAUAUCUUGAGCUUGGGUUAAUCCGGCGCCUAGAUUACUCGGCGUUGCGCUUAGAGUGGAAAGAGCUACAGGCACAACCGCACCAAGAUGUAUAUGUUGGACUUGUAUUGUGACAUGGACCAUAUUAGAAAUAGGAGGAAAAAAAAAGUCAAUUGAAAGUCUGGUGUUUGGAGCUUGGUCCAUCAAUAGCUGCUAUAUACAGUCGUUAGAUUGCAAGAGUAAAAGAGAAAAGAGACAAAAAACAUUAUUGUAUAGGGUUGUCGAGUGAAUGUUAAGGAAAACGACGAGAAGCCAUAUUCGUUGUGGUGUUACUACUCUUUUACCACUUUUUCUUUUUUUUUUCUUUAUAUAUAUUUUUCAGUCGCUUCUUCUUCUUCAUUGAGCUGAAUUCUAGUCUUUACUUUUUCAUCAACUUUUCUCUUUUUUUUUCAUCAAUUUUGCAUGAUCUUUACGUGAACAUAUACAUGCAUGGAUAUGUAUAUAGGUUUAUAAGCAAUUGAACAUUUGAAAUUUCAUUGUGAAAAGAAAUAUUAUACAAUCCUUGACCUGACUUUUAACAUCAAUA